This is a long non-coding RNA of Cyanistes caeruleus (blue tit), 1030 nucleotides long. RefSeq lists it as uncharacterized. Lineage: Eukaryota; Metazoa; Chordata; Aves; Passeriformes; Paridae. The record is from RefSeq and is a predicted model, not a curated record.
UCCAUAAAUUUCUUUUAGAAUUAACCUCGAAUGCUGCUGUGUCCAUCCCCACACCCGGGCUGCCAAAUUUAUGUCAGCCCUGUUGCUCAGCCACAAGUGCUGUCCUCACUUUCCUUUCUCUGGUCAUUCCCAAGCCAAGGUUUGAAGUUUCCAGGUUGGUUUUGUGAGCGUUGCUUCUCGCAGGAGCAGCGAGGGUGAUCUCACAGCUGGGGAAGUGCUGAUUUCCCACAGCCUCUCAUGGAUUUUGUGCAGGAAGACAAGUGGGGAGUGGAAUAAAGAUGAAGAAAUAUUUUGGUUCUGGAAUACAUUUUAGAGGAUAGUAAAGACUGGAAAAAAAAGAGCAAAUACUGCAGACGGUGUUUCUUUGCCACAAUCCAUGCUCUUCAUUCACACUCUGAGAGGCCACGGGAACGGGCUCAGCCUCUCCUGUUCCAACAGAUUUCCUGGAAAACAUACAGAUCAAGCAGUUCCUAUUUUCAGGCUUUGGACUGCAUGGGAUUUCAAAACAGCAAGGGAACACCAUCAGAUCUUCAAAAUAAGACCAAAAACCCAACUAGAUGUCAGGGGAGCAUUGAAGUCCUGUUUAUCCAGAUGAUUGUGGAAGUGGGUGACAUUUUCAGCAUGGUGGCAUUUCAAAUUUUCAACAUGCUUUUGAAAGGAAGAUGCCCUGCAAAUACCAUAUCUGUGUUCUCUCUUCUUUUAAUCUGCUCUGACUUAGGUUACACUGAGAUUCCUCUGGCUGCAGCCUCUCUUCAUCUAAAGCUGGUGGCAUCAUCCAAUUUAGGGACAGACACAACCACAGUGGCUCUCACAGCACUUCAGGUGUUUCUCCCUCUCUUUUCCUUUAACACCAGAUGCCUUUGUGCUUUAUUUCCAUUCAGCUUAAGAGGUCUUCUCAGAAGUUUUGAUUCCACUGUCUUCUCUAGAGCUUCUUCUUUCCUCUUCACAUUGAUUUUCUCUGUCCUGGCCUCUCUUAGUUCUAUUUAGAGACUAUUUCUGAAGCACUGAUGAGGUUUAAUUGGCCCUGUAU